CCCGGCCCCCUUGCUUGACCCCGACCCCGACCACCUCCUUCGCGGCUCCGGCCGUCGCGCACGCAGCUCCUCCCCUCGCCGCCGGGCGGAUCUCUACACAGCCGUCCACACGCGCAGCUCCUGCCCACGGUUCCGAGCGGAGCUCUCCUGCGGCCGCUCGCGAGCAGCUCCUGCGCGCACCGCUGGGCGGAUCUCCCACGGCCGCUCACGCGCGCGGCUCCUGCCCACGGCGCCUAGCAGAGCUCUCCCGCAACCUGGCCUUCUACCAGGACCGCUCGACCAAAUGGAUAGCAAGGGCAAACCAAAAAACAAGAUUUCAUGGCCAAGAUCUCUUCACCAGCGGUUCAAAUCCCCUUUUCUCUUGCUUGAUUUUUCUGAUCCAUUCAUUGGCGAUGCAGCUUGAGGUCAAGAGAAGGAUGGGACGGGGAAAUAAGAAGCUAAUCUACGUUUGUCUACUUUCUUUUUCUAAUGCUGCUGCUUGAUUUGGACGGGGAUUCCGAGAAGCAAGUCUUGACAUGGAGGGGAUCAUAGCUGUUCAUGGUGCCUGUAUAUGCCUCUAGCCUCCUCAACCUCAGUGACCGGCGCUCACAUGGAUUUCUAUUGCAUUUAUAGAAACCCAUCUGGGUGAGUGUAGAAUUUCUUUCUAUGUUCAUUUAUAGAAACCCCAUCUGGCAAGCAUAGAAUUUGUUGGUAUGUUCAUCUAUAGGAACACCAUCACUUUGGCCUAUUUUUUUUAGAAUCAUAUAUAUGUUUGUGUUUGUGCAUAUAUACUAUUAGUUGACUGUGUGCCCAUGCUUGCAAUAAUAUACAUGUUAGUGCCUGAUCACAGAUACUAUAUGUUUAAUUUGCUAGUAGUCUCUUCUAUGCAUAGAUCAUAGUAUCAUACACAUGCUACCCAUAUUUUUAUGAUUAUCCUCACUGGUUUUUAUGCCUUUUGUUACUGAGGUGGGUUGCUGAGGUGGAUCCAAUUGAUGACAGCUCCCACAAUACAUCAUAUAUUUGUCUAGUAUUUUCCUCCCAUGUUUAUAUGAUCGUCCUCACUGGUUUAUGAUCACAUUCCAUUUUGGUACUCCAUCAGAGCAUCCAUUCCUAUCAGAUGCAUGCUUCUAUGCCAAAAAAAAACCCAGCUUUAAUGUAUUGACCUGACCAGGGCAUAAAAUUAACCAGCUUACCACCAUCCCAACAUUUGAAUGUAUGUGGAGAAUUAUAUACUAGUGUAGAGAGCCUUGUACGAUGGCAUAUAAACCUGUAAAGUCAGGCAUAAUAUAAACAUGCAUCUAAUCAGACAUGAUGCUCGCCGCUUCAACGCGACAUCAUUUGUUGCUUGAGCCCAUACUUCUAUGAUUUUUUUCACUGCUUUUUAUGCAUAGAUACUGUAUAUCUUGAGCGUCUGAGCAUAGAUACUGACUUGUAUCUUAUGUUUCUAUGAUUUCCCUCACUUGUUUUUAUACCUUUUGUUGCUUCAUGUUGUUGUUUAGAUGUAUGUAAUUGCACUUAUAUAUUUAUUUUGUUAUUUUUUCUCAUAUUUCUAAAACUGCACUCACUUAAAUUUAUGCCUUUUUUAAUUGCGAGGUGUGUUGUUGACGAGGAUCUACUGGACGACGACUUCCACAACCGCAAGCUAGCAUCAUAGUCCUCACCAGCGGAGUGCAAACAUCAUUGAUUUUGUAUUCUUAGUUUGUAUAUUUCUUUGAGGAAAUUUAUAGUUCGCACAACUGUACAUCUCUAUUUGAUUAAAAAUCUAGAUGGAUAUUGGUUUCUAUGCUUCCAUGCGAGGUUUAUAUGCCAUGUGAAAGUAUAAUUUAAAGAUA
This is a long non-coding RNA of Panicum virgatum (switchgrass), 1811 nucleotides long. RefSeq lists it as uncharacterized. The transcript has 2 exons. Lineage: Eukaryota; Viridiplantae; Streptophyta; Magnoliopsida; Poales; Poaceae. The record is from RefSeq and is a predicted model, not a curated record.